CUACCUAAGAACAAAACCCCUGGACCAGAUGGCUUCACCGCUGAAUUUUACCAAACAUUUAGUGAAGACCUAAUACCCAUCCUCCUUAAAGUUUUCCAAAGAGUAGAAGAAAGAAUACUUCCAAACUUAUUCUAUAAGGCCAGAAUCACUCUAAUACCAAAACCAGGCAAAGACACCACAAAAAAAGAAAAUUACAGACCAAUAUCCCUGAUGAACAUAGAUGCAAAAAUACUCCACAAAAUAUUAGCAAACCAAAUUCAAAAAUACAUCAAAAAGAUCAUCCAUCAUGAUCAGGUAGGAUUUAUUCCAGGAAUGCAAGGAUGGUACAACAUUUGAAAAUCCAUCAACAUCAUCCACCGCAUAAACAAAAAGGACAAAAACCACAUGAUCAUCUCCAUAGAUGCUGAAAAAGCAUUUGACAAAAUUCAACAUCCAUUCAUGAUAAAAACUCUCAACAAAAUGGGUAUAGAGGGCAAGUACCUCAAAACAAUAAAGUCCAUAUAUGACAAACCCACAGCCAACAUUAUACUUAACACCAAGAAGCUGAAAGCAUUUCCUCUGAGAUCGGGAACAAGACAAUGAUGCCCACUCUCCCCACUUCUAUUCAACAUAGUACUGGAGGUCCUAGCCAUCGCAAUCAGAAAACACAAAGAAAUAAAAGGCAUCCAGAUUGGCAAGGAAGAAGUUAAACUGUCCCUGUUUGCAGAUGACAUGAUAUUGUAUAUGAAAAACCCUAAGGACUCCACUCCAAAACUACUAGAUCUAAUAUCUGAAUUCAGCGAAGUUGCAGGAUACAAAAUUAAUACACAGAAAUCUGUGACAUUUCUAUACACUAACAAUGAACUAGCAGAGAGAAAUCAGGAAAACAAUUCCAUUCACAGUUGCAUCAAAAAGAAUAAAAUACCUAGGAAUAAACCUAACCAAGGAAGUGAAAGACCUAUACUCUGAAAACUACAAGACACUCAUGAGAGAAAUUAAAGAGGAUACCAAUAAAUGGAAACACAUCCCGUGCUCAUGGAUAGGAAGAAUUAAUAUUGUCAAAAUAGCCAUCCUGCCUAAAGCAAUCUACAGAUUCAAUGCAAUCCCUAUCAAAAUACCAACAGCAUUCUUCAAUGGACUGGAACAAAUAGUUCUUAAAUUCAUAUGGAACCACAAAAGACCCGGAAUAGCCAAAGCAAUCCUGAGAAGGAAGAAUAAAGCAGGGGGGAUCUCGUUUCCCAAGUUCAAGCUCUACUACAAAGCCACAGUAAUCAAGACAAUUUGGUACUGGCACAAGAACAGACCCACAGACCAGUGGAACAGAAUAGAGAGUCCAAAAUAUUAACCCAAACAGAUAUGGUCAAUUAAUAUACAAUAAAGGAGCCAUGGACAUACAAUGGGAAAAUGACAGCCUCUUUAACAUCUGGUGUUGGCAAAACUGGACAGCUACAUGUAGAGAAUUAAAUUGGAUUAUUUUUUAACUCCAUACACAAAAGCAAACUCAAAAUGGAUUAAAGACUUGAAUGUAAGUCAUGAAACCAUAAAACUCUUAGAAGACAACACAGGCAAAAAUCUCCUGAAUAUAAGCAUGAGCAACUUCUUCCUGAACGCAUCUCCUGGAGCAAGGGAAACAAAAGCAAAAAUGAACUCAUGGGACUACAUCAGACUAAAAAGUUUCUGUAUGGCAAAGGACACCAUCAACAGAACAAAAAGGCAUCCUACAGUAUGGGAGAAUAUAUUUGUAAAUGACAUAUGCGACAAGGGGUUAACAUCCAAAAUAUAUUAAGAACUCACACACCUCAACACCCAAAAAGCAAAUAACCCGAUUAAAAAAUGGGCAGAGGAUAUGAAGAGACAGUUCUCCAAAGAAGAAAUUCAGAUGGCCAACAGACAUGAAAAAAUGCUCCACAUCACUAAUCAUCAGAGAAAUGCAAAUUAAAACCACAAUGAGAUUUCACCUCACACCAGUAAGGAUGGCCAGCAUCAAAAAGAC
This is a long non-coding RNA of Manis pentadactyla (Chinese pangolin), 1972 nucleotides long. RefSeq lists it as uncharacterized. Lineage: Eukaryota; Metazoa; Chordata; Mammalia; Pholidota; Manidae. The transcript is spliced from 2 exons. The record is from RefSeq and is a predicted model, not a curated record.